This 214-nucleotide ribosomal RNA is filed under the name Penicillium sp. CBS 140615. RNAcentral describes it as "partial 28S ribosomal RNA". It matches the Rfam family "Eukaryotic large subunit ribosomal RNA", at positions 1 to 211 of the family's 3401-position model. The record is from RNAcentral. Lineage: Eukaryota; Fungi; Ascomycota; Eurotiomycetes; Eurotiales; Aspergillaceae.
GGUUGACCUCGGAUCAGGUAGGGAUACCCGCUGAACUUAAGCAUAUCAAUAAGCGGAGGAAAAGAAACCAACAGGGAUUGCCUCAGUAACGGCGAGUGAAGCGGCAAGAGCUCAAAUUUGAAAGCUGGCCCCUUCGGGGUCCGCAUUGUAAUUUGCAGAGGAUGCUUCGGGAGCGGCCCCCAUCUAAGUGCCCUGGAACGGGCCGUCAUAGAGG